This is a long non-coding RNA of Acanthochromis polyacanthus (spiny chromis), 1621 nucleotides long. RefSeq lists it as uncharacterized. Lineage: Eukaryota; Metazoa; Chordata; Actinopteri; Pomacentridae. The transcript has 2 exons. The record is from RefSeq and is a predicted model, not a curated record.
UUUGACAUUUUUUAAAACUUUAUUAUGGGGACAUUUUACUUUUUACAUUUUUUUCUUUACUUUAUUGAAGACAUUUUCUUAAUUUUCUCACAUUUAUGAGAAAUAUUAUUAAAAUCUUUAACAAUUUGAGCGCAUUUUCAUUACUUUGUGAACCCACACCGGGGUUAAACCACACCGUUGUGACCAGUGUGGGAAAAGCAACAGCUACAUUAACAACCUCAAAGCUCACAAACGUGUCCACACUGGAGAGAGACCACACAGAUGUGAUGAGUGUAAGAAGACUUUUACAACUUUGGGUUCCCUGAAACAACACCAGCAGAUCCACAGCAGAAAGCAUUCAAUCAGUGUCACAGUAAGAGCGGCACAGACCUGCACACUGGACACAACCUGAACGCCUGCCAAGAAGACUUCCCCACGCCGGUUCAGUCCAAGUUCCUGAAGUCGUCCACAGACUUUAAAGGAUCACCCUUGGCCUGAAGUGUAAAUAGUUUUGAUAAAAUUGUUAUUUUUUUGUGCAAUUUGAAUGCCUCACUGAGAUCAGAGAGCCACAGUUUGUCUGCACAUGCUGUUUACUGGUUGGGCAAGCAUUCGCCGCCUUGGUUCAACGCCUCCAGCAGAUUUUACAAUGAGGAUGAAUAGAUUUUUAGUAAAAUCAGUCUGAAUUCUGUCAUUCCAGCUUCUUAAAUGUGAAUAUUGUCUGCUUUCUUUCCUCUUUUAUGACAGUUGACAGUAAACUGAAGAUCUUUGCGUUGGUUCACAUUUUUCACCAUUUUAAAGACAAACUCAUUUUGAUGAUUAAUCUGUUUUAAUCCAUUUUCAAAAAGAAAACAGUCUAAAUUCUGUGAUUUUAGUUUCUUAAAUGUGAAUAUUUUCUGGUUUCUUUCUUCUGUGACAGUAAACUGAAGGUCUUUAGACUAAAUCAGACAUUUGAGGAAAAUGGUCCACAUUUUUCAUAAUUUUCAUGGAUUUUAUAGAUGUUUUAGUUGUAGCCCUUCAAUGAACUUUUGUUAAACCAAACUAAAUUCAAAAAAGCUCAAAUUUAAAGCCAGACAGAGAAAGUUUGAGUAAAUUCUGAUUUUUAGCUCCAAGUUUGGUCUCCUCCAGCAGAUUUUAGAAUCAGAAUGAAUAGAUUUUUCCAAAAAAAAAAAGUCUAAAUUCUGUGUUUUCAGUUUUUUAAAAGUGAAUAUUUUCUGAUUUCUUUCCUCUUUUAUGGUAGAAAACUGAAGAUCUUUAGACUAAAUCAGACUUUUGAGGAAACAAUGAUCCACAUUUUUCAUGGAUUUUAUGGAUAUUUUUAGUUGUAGAUCUUCAAUGAACCUUCGUUAAACCAAACUUCAUUCAAAAAACUUCAAAGUUCUCUAGUUUUGAUCAGUGUUUAUUUUCUAAUAUCUCCUAAGUUGUUUACACUGUGCUUCAUAAUAUACAUAACUCCUGAGGUGUUGCUCUUUUCCUCCUGUUUGGAUAUUUUCAGCGAUGACCUUGACCUUUAGAAGCUGUGUUUUGUUCUCUAAUGAUGAUCUCCGGUGUGUGAAGCGACUGAAGCUGAGGAGAGCUUGGUGUUUCGUGCUGUUUCACUCUCAGGUGGAUUUUUUUGGGCAAUAAAGAUGAUCCCCUUAAUGCA